This 239-nucleotide long non-coding RNA is filed under the name Elaeis guineensis (African oil palm). Its description in RNAcentral is "long non-coding RNA (EGUI_LNC063829)". Lineage: Eukaryota; Viridiplantae; Streptophyta; Magnoliopsida; Arecales; Arecaceae. The record is from RNAcentral.
UGUGACUAGUUCUUUAAUCUGCAGUGCCUCGACUAUUUAUAAUGAGAUUGCUGUAGUUUGACUAUAUAUACAUUUGGUCCCUACUCAUUCAGGUCCUUGCGGUGUAGAUUGACUGCAGUAGAUUCGUUAUAGGAGUAGGAUGUGCAUCUAGAUAGGAUCUAUCGACCUUAAUAGAUAAUAAGUAGUCCUAUGUGAAUUAUGAGACUGAGUUCUAAAGACCAUGAUCAUGACAGUGUAAG